Long non-coding RNA from Populus nigra (black poplar), 1883 nucleotides. RefSeq lists it as uncharacterized. NCBI's taxonomy places the organism in Eukaryota, Viridiplantae, Streptophyta, Magnoliopsida, Malpighiales, Salicaceae. The record is from RefSeq and is a predicted model, not a curated record. The transcript has 3 exons.
ACUGGAUCUGGGCUUACAUUUUGGGGCAAUAAGAUGUCUAAAAUAUCUGGGCUAAUGGCCUUAUUCUUUGUGGUUUGAGCCACAUGAAUGCUUCACUUCCGUUAUCCAACCACUUCUUGCCAAUUGUCGAAAUCCCACAAGGCCACAACCCCUCCAAAAGCUUGGAGCACAAAAGUGGCUUGUAACAUCCCAACAGUAUCAGAUUCCAAAGCUGCAAAAAUUUGCUCCUGUUCUGUUGCUGCAAUAUCUAGAGAAUGAACACUGCAAAAAGAGCUGCUCAGCUUCUCUCAACUCAGAACAUUAGGUCCUUCUUAGACUCUGCUGAGGCCUUUCUCUUUGACUGUGAUGGUGUGAUUUGGAAAGGAGACAAACUAGUUGAUGUGGUCUCUCGAACAAUGGACUUCCUUCGUUCUAAGGGAAAAAACACUUGUUUUUGUGAUAAAUAAUUCAUUAAUUUCAAGAAUGCAAUGUGCCAAGAAGUUCCAUUCACUUUGGAUUUCGGUUGAUGAGGUUGGUGCAGUUGUGGUUGGAAUAGAUCCGUGCUUCAACUGUUACAAGCUUCAGUAAGAGUUUCUAAAUCCUAUGUUACCUCUUCUACCGUGUUAAGUCUGCUGUAUUUUGAUUUGGUCAUGUUGUUAUGAGAUUUUGAGCAAGAUACUAUUGAAAUCGAUUUUUUAAGGCAACAACAGAGCAUAAGUUCACUUGUCAGCUUCUCUAAGAUUCAAGGAUAAAAAGAUUUCCUGCCAAUUGAACACUAGCUGAGCGGCCAAGGCAUGGUUAGGUCUUGGUCAGAUAUUUCCUUUGUCAAUGCGAAAUCUGUCAUAUCGGUAUUGAUCUGGAAUUUGAUUCCACAAGACAUCUCAUACCCGGGGCUGUAAUAGAAUAAUAAUAAUUAAGAGCUGCAUGCUUCUAGUUUCAAGAUAAAUAUUGAAUUGACAGGUAUGGAACCUCAUGCAUGCGUGAGAAACCAGGUUGCAUUUUUAUUGCUACGAAUCGUGAUCCAGUGGGACGUAAGACUGAUUUAUAGGAGUGGCCUGGUAAGUAAUUAGAUCCUAUAUUACAACAAGACAUUUCACCAGGCAGUUUCACCUCUUUAAUUUCGGUUCUUGGUUUUAGGUGCAGGUUGUAUGGUUGCUGCCACAUGCGGUUCAACAGAGAGAGAGCCUAUCACAGUUGGAAAUGCUCAAGUAUCAAAAACACAACAAUUGGUCCUCAUUUCAUACUGACAUCAUCACUAACCUUUGACAACUUAUAUUCUCACAGGAGACUGUUUGUAGAUUAAAUGUUUACUGUCCUAUGUUUUGCAGCUUUCUCAUCGGCACCUCCAAAAUGUGCAUGGUGGGUGAUAAACAAGAUGCUGAUAUUUUAUUUGGACAAAAUGCUGGCUACAGAACUCUCCUUGUUCUUUCAGAUAGACUGAUUUCUCUUGUUUUUUAAUUCCCUCUUACCCUCAAAUAGAAUGUUAACUCAAAGCACACGAUGCUGAAAAACUUGCAGGUGUAACAACGAAAACUACUCCUCAAGAUCCAUCAAACAAUGUCCAGCCAGAUUAUUAUACAAGUAAGGUGUCUGACCUACCUGACUCACUGGUACCAUAAACCUCAUUACUUGCCUUUCGGUCAUUCUCGUAGGCCUGUUGACAGUGCUGGUAGUGGAUUCCUGUUAAAAAUCUCAGGGAUUGUCGGGCAUUUUUACAGGUAUUGUCUUACCUUCGAUGCCAUAAUUCUCAGAAUUUGAGAACAAUCAUAAUGGUAUCAUCUUUCUGCUUGAUUGCUUCCUGCUUGCAAAGUUAUAUUACAGAAACACUAAUAAAUGUUCAUUCUAAGAACUCGUAAGUUCUUAAUUACAAUCUUCACAUCGGAGGAAAGUUUACCAUAGGGAAA